AGCGUACACGGUGGAUGCCCUGGCAGUCAGAGGCGAUGAAGGACGUGCUAAUCUGCGAUAAGCGUCGGUGAGGUGAUAUGAACCGUUAUAACCGGCGAUUUCCGAAUGGGGAAACCCAGUGUGUUUCGACACACUAUCAUUAACUGAAUCCAUAGGUUAAUGAGGCGAACCGGGGGAACUGAAACAUCUAAGUACCCCGAGGAAAAGAAAUCAACCGAGAUUCCCCCAGUAGCGGCGAGCGAACGGGGAGGAGCCCAGAGCCUGAAUCAGUGUGUGUGUUAGUGGAAGCGUCUGGAAAGGCGCGCGAUACAGGGUGACAGCCCCGUACACAAAAAUGCACAUAUUGUGAGCUCGAUGAGUAGGGCGGGACACGUGGUAUCCUGUCUGAAUAUGGGGGGACCAUCCUCCAAGGCUAAAUACUCCUGACUGACCGAUAGUGAACCAGUACCGUGAGGGAAAGGCGAAAAGAACCCCGGCGAGGGGAGUGAAAAAGAACCUGAAACCGUGUACGUACAAGCAGUGGGAGCCUCUUUAUGGGGUGACUGCGUACCUUUUGUAUAAUGGGUCAGCGACUUAUAUUCUGUAGCAAGGUUAACCGAAUAGGGGAGCCGAAGGGAAACCGAGUCUUAACUGGGCGUUAAGUUGCAGGGUAUAGACCCGAAACCCGGUGAUCUAGCCAUGGGCAGGUUGAAGGUUGGGUAACACUAACUGGAGGACCGAACCGACUAAUGUUGAAAAAUUAGCGGAUGACUUGUGGCUGGGGGUGAAAGGCCAAUCAAACCGGGAGAUAGCUGGUUCUCCCCGAAAGCUAUUUAGGUAGCGCCUCGUGAAUUCAUCUCCGGGGGUAGAGCACUGUUUCGGCAAGGGGGUCAUCCCGACUUACCAACCCGAUGCAAACUGCGAAUACCGGAGAAUGUUAUCACGGGAGACACACGGCGGGUGCUAACGUCCGUCGUGAAGAGGGAAACAACCCAGACCGCCAGCUAAGGUCCCAAAGUCAUGGUUAAGUGGGAAACGAUGUGGGAAGGCCCAGACAGCCAGGAUGUUGGCUUAGAAGCAGCCAUCAUUUAAAGAAAGCGUAAUAGCUCACUGGUCGAGUCGGCCUGCGCGGAAGAUGUAACGGGGCUAAACCAUGCACCGAAGCUGCGGCAGCGACACUAUGUGUUGUUGGGUAGGGGAGCGUUCUGUAAGCCUGUGAAGGUGGCCUGUGAGGGUUGCUGGAGGUAUCAGAAGUGCGAAUGCUGACAUAAGUAACGAUAAAGCGGGUGAAAAGCCCGCUCGCCGGAAGACCAAGGGUUCCUGUCCAACGUUAAUCGGGGCAGGGUGAGUCGACCCCUAAGGCGAGGCCGAAAGGCGUAGUCGAUGGGAAACAGGUUAAUAUUCCUGUACUUGGUGUUACUGCGAAGGGGGGACGGAGAAGGCUAUGUUGGCCGGGCGACGGUUGUCCCGGUUUAAGCGUGUAGGCUGGUUUUCCAGGCAAAUCCGGAAAACCAAGGCUGAGGCGUGAUGACGAGGCACUACGGUGCUGAAGCGACAAAUGCCCUGCUUCCAGGAAAAGCCUCUAAGCAUCAGGUAACAUCAAAUCGUACCCCAAACCGACACAGGUGGUCAGGUAGAGAAUACCAAGGCGCUUGAGAGAACUCGGGUGAAGGAACUAGGCAAAAUGGUGCCGUAACUUCGGGAGAAGGCACGCUGAUAUGUAGGUGAAGCGACUUGCUCGUGGAGCUGAAAUCAGUCGAAGAUACCAGCUGGCUGCAACUGUUUAUUAAAAACACAGCACUGUGCAAACACGAAAGUGGACGUAUACGGUGUGACGCCUGCCCGGUGCCGGAAGGUUAAUUGAUGGGGUUAGCGGUAACGCGAAGCUCUUGAUCGAAGCCCCGGUAAACGGCGGCCGUAACUAUAACGGUCCUAAGGUAGCGAAAUUCCUUGUCGGGUAAGUUCCGACCUGCACGAAUGGCGUAAUGAUGGCCAGGCUGUCUCCACCCGAGACUCAGUGAAAUUGAACUCGCUGUGAAGAUGCAGUGUACCCGCGGCAAGACGGAAAGACCCCGUGAACCUUUACUAUAGCUUGACACUGAACAUUGAGCCUUGAUGUGUAGGAUAGGUGGGAGGCUUUGAAGUGUGGACGCCAGUCUGCAUGGAGCCGACCUUGAAAUACCACCCUUUAAUGUUUGAUGUUCUAACGUUGGCCCGUAAUCCGGGUUGCGGACAGUGUCUGGUGGGUAGUUUGACUGGGGCGGUCUCCUCCUAAAGAGUAACGGAGGAGCACGAAGGUUGGCUAAUCCUGGUCGGACAUCAGGAGGUUAGUGCAAUGGCAUAAGCCAGCUUGACUGCGAGCGUGACGGCGCGAGCAGGUGCGAAAGCAGGUCAUAGUGAUCCGGUGGUUCUGAAUGGAAGGGCCAUCGCUCAACGGAUAAAAGGUACUCCGGGGAUAACAGGCUGAUACCGCCCAAGAGUUCAUAUCGACGGCGGUGUUUGGCACCUCGAUGUCGGCUCAUCACAUCCUGGGGCUGAAGUAGGUCCCAAGGGUAUGGCUGUUCGCCAUUUAAAGUGGUACGCGAGCUGGGUUUAGAACGUCGUGAGACAGUUCGGUCCCUAUCUGCCGUGGGCGCUGGAGAACUGAGGGGGGCUGCUCCUAGUACGAGAGGACCGGAGUGGACGCAUCACUGGUGUUCGGGUUGUCAUGCCAAUGGCACUGCCCGGUAGCUAAAUGCGGAAGAGAUAAGUGCUGAAAGCAUCUAAGCACGAAACUUGCCCCGAGAUGAGUUCUCCCUGACUCCUUGAGAGUCCUGAAGGAACGUUGAAGACGACGACGUUGAUAGGCCGGGUGUGUAAGCGCAGCGAUGCGUUGAGCUAACCGGUACUAAUGAACCGUGAGGCUUAACC
RNAcentral lists this ribosomal RNA (2889 nucleotides) under human gut metagenome. RNAcentral describes it as "bacterial LSU rRNA". It matches the Rfam family "Bacterial large subunit ribosomal RNA". The record is from RNAcentral.